RNAcentral lists this unclassified non-coding RNA (146 nucleotides) under uncultured fungus. RNAcentral describes it as "sequence contains ITS1". The record is from RNAcentral. Lineage: Eukaryota; Fungi.
AUCUUUAUUUAUUAUAUACAUAAUGUAAAAAUAAUGAUUCAAUUUAUAAGAGUGGGGUUUUAAAUACAAGUUUUCGCGAGACCAUGACCAAAGAUCAGGUCCGCUAAAAAUCGGUAAUGAUCCUUCCGCAGGUUCACCUACGGAAA